GACGAACGCUGGCGGCGUGCUUAACACAUGCAAGUCGAACGGAAAGGCCCUGCUUUUGUGGGGUGCUCGAGUGGCGAACGGGUGAGUAACACGUGAGUAACCUGCCCCUGACUUUGGGAUAACUUCAGGAAACUGGGGCUAAUACCCGAUAGGAGCUCUUGCUGCAUGGUGGGGGUUGGAAAGUUACGGCGGUUGGGGAUGGACUCGCGGCUUACCCGCUUCUUGGUGGGGUAGUGACUUACCAAGGUUUUGACGGGUAGCCGGCAUGGGAGGGUUACCGGCGACAAUGGGACUAAGAUACGGCCCAGACUCCUACGGGAGGCAGCAGUGGGGAGUAUUGCGCAACGGGCGGAAGCCUGAGGUGGCAGCGCCGGGUGCGGGAUAACGGCCUUCGGGGUGUAAACCGCUUUCGCCGGUGACGAAGCGUGAGUGACGGUAAUGGGUAAAGAAGCACCGGCUAACUACGUG
Molecule: ribosomal RNA, 468 nt
Filed under: uncultured bacterium
Lineage: Bacteria
Description: partial 16S ribosomal RNA
Rfam family: Bacterial small subunit ribosomal RNA
Source: RNAcentral